Molecule: ribosomal RNA, 253 nt
Filed under: uncultured bacterium
Lineage: Bacteria
Description: partial 16S ribosomal RNA
Rfam family: Bacterial small subunit ribosomal RNA
Source: RNAcentral
UACGGAGGGUGCAAGCGUUAUCCGGAUUCACUGGGUUUAAAGGGUGCGUAGGUGGGCAAGUAAGUCAGUGGUGAAAUCUCCGGGCUUAACCCGGAAACUGCCAUUGAUACUAUUUGUCUUGAAUACUGUGGAGGUCAGCGGAAUAUGUCAUGUAGCGGUGAAAUGCUUAGAUAUGACAUAGAACACCAAUUGCGAAGGCAGCUGGCUAGACCUGUAUUGACGCUGAGGCACGAAAGCGUGGGGAGCGAACAGG